GAUUAUGGCUCAGGAUGAACGCUGGCGGCGUGCCUAACACAUGCAAGUCGAGCGAUUCGUCUUCGGAGAAGAGCGGCGGACGGGUGAGUAACGCGUGGGUAACCUGCCCUGUACACACGGAUAACAUACCGAAAGGUAUGCUAAUACGGGAUAAUAUAUUUUUGAUCGCAUGGUCGAAAUAUCAAAGCUCCGGCGGUACAGGAUGGACCCGCGUCUGAUUAGCUAGUUGGUGAGGUAAUGGCUCACCAAGGCGACGAUCAGUAGCCGACCUGAGAGGGUGAUCGGCCACAUUGGAACUGAGACACGGUCCAAACUCCUACGGGAGGCAGCAGUGGGGAAUAUUGCACAAUGGGCGAAAGCCUGAUGCAAGCAACGCCGCGUGAGCGAUGAAGGCCUUCGGGUCGUAAAGCUCUGUCCUCAAGGAAGAUAAUGACGGUACUUGAGGAGGAAGCCCCGGCUAACUACGUGCCAGCCGCAGC
RNAcentral lists this ribosomal RNA (479 nucleotides) under uncultured bacterium. Its description in RNAcentral is "bacterial SSU rRNA". It matches the Rfam family "Bacterial small subunit ribosomal RNA", at positions 15 to 518 of the family's 1533-position model. The record is from RNAcentral.